UACGAAGGGUGCAAGCGUUCCUCGGAAUUACUGGGCGUAAAGCGUGCGUAGGUGGUGAGUUAAGCCUGUCGUGAAAGCCCCGGGCUCAACCUGGGAAUGGCGAUGGAUACUGGCUCGCUAGAGUGCGGUAAAGGAGAGUGGAAUUCCCGGUGUAGCAGUGAAAUGCGUAGAGAUCGGGAGGAACAUCAGUUGCGAAGGCGGCUCUCUGGACCAGCACUGACGCUGAGGAGCGAAAGCCAGGGGAGCAAACGGG
Molecule: ribosomal RNA, 253 nt
Filed under: uncultured bacterium
Lineage: Bacteria
Description: partial 16S ribosomal RNA
Rfam family: Bacterial small subunit ribosomal RNA
Source: RNAcentral